Molecule: non-coding RNA, 294 nt
Organism: Vicia faba (fava bean)
Lineage: Eukaryota; Viridiplantae; Streptophyta; Magnoliopsida; Fabales; Fabaceae
Source: the annotation of a GenBank genome assembly
AUGAUUCAACUAUGCCUUAUACCAAUGGAUUACGAAUCCAAAACAAUGCAUCAGUUAGAUAUGUCAAGAGUAACUGAGUUUCGGUGUUUUAUACGAGUGGUUGGCAGGAAUACUGUGUUUGGAGUCAACUUCAGUGCCUUUAUGGGGGUCUUGCUUCAAAAAUCCUGGUGUCAAUUGAUUUGUCCAUUGGAAAGAGUGGUUAUUUUAGUCUGGAUGUUUAGAUUGUUAUUUAGUUUUCAUUCUUGUGGGUUAUUAUAUUUUUCAGGAAGCUUUUCCAUGUCUUCAACGAAGUGA